Molecule: small nuclear RNA, 107 nt
Organism: Phyllostomus discolor (pale spear-nosed bat)
Lineage: Eukaryota; Metazoa; Chordata; Mammalia; Chiroptera; Phyllostomidae
Source: RefSeq, a predicted model, not a curated record
GUGCUCACUUCAGCAGCACAUAUACUAAAAUUGGAACAAUACAGAAGAGAUUAGCAUGGCCCCUGCACAAGGAUGACAUGCAAAUUCAUGAAGCAUUCUAUAUUUUU